Molecule: ribosomal RNA, 569 nt
Filed under: Alternaria eureka
Lineage: Eukaryota; Fungi; Ascomycota; Dothideomycetes; Pleosporales; Pleosporaceae
Description: eukaryotic LSU rRNA
Rfam family: 5.8S ribosomal RNA (bases 195-348)
Source: RNAcentral
CGUAGGUGAACCUGCGGAGGGAUCAUUACACAAUAACAAGGCGGGCUGGCUCUCUCCCGGGAGGACUGGCCUUGCUGAAUUAUUCACCCGUGUCUUUUGCGUACUUCUUGUUUCCUGGGCGGGUUCGCCCGCCACCAGGACCCCCAUAAACCUUUUGCAAUGGCAAUCAGCGUCAGUAACAACACAAUAAUUACAACUUUCAACAACGGAUCUCUUGGUUCUGGCAUCGAUGAAGAACGCAGCGAAAUGCGAUAAGUAGUGUGAAUUGCAGAAUUCAGUGAAUCAUCGAAUCUUUGAACGCACAUUGCGCCCUUUGGUAUUCCAAAGGGCAUGCCUGUUCGAGCGUCAUUUGUACCCUCAAGCUUUGCUUGGUGUUGGGCGUCUUUGUCUCCGGCUUGCCUGGAGACUCGCCUUAAAGUGAUUGGCAGCCGGCCUACUGGUUUCGGAGCGCAGCACAAGUCGCGCUCUCUUCCAGCCAAGGUCAGCGUCCACCAAGCCACCUUUUUUACCUUUGACCUCGGAUCAGGUAGGGAUACCCGCUGAACUUAAGCAUAUCAAUAAGCGGAGGA